AAAAUUUAAAACGGAUUUUUGGUUUUGGCUCAUAAAAACGCAGAAAUGCGAUAAGUAAGUGAAUGCAAAAUUAGGAAUAUCAAUUUUUGAACGCAAUUGGGCCCGCCAUUUUUGGGGGUGCUGUCCACGUAAUUUAAACCUUAACC
RNAcentral lists this ribosomal RNA (146 nucleotides) under Trichoderma inhamatum. RNAcentral's name for it is "5.8S ribosomal RNA". Lineage: Eukaryota; Fungi; Ascomycota; Sordariomycetes; Hypocreales; Hypocreaceae. The record is from RNAcentral.